This 338-nucleotide unclassified non-coding RNA is filed under the name soil metagenome. RNAcentral describes it as "partial contains 5.8S ribosomal RNA, internal transcribed spacer 2, and large subunit ribosomal RNA". The stretch from base 2 to 120 matches the Rfam family "5.8S ribosomal RNA", at positions 36 to 154 of the family's 154-position model. The record is from RNAcentral.
UAUGAAGAACGUAGUGAAAUGCGAUAAGUAAUGUGAAUUGCAGAAUUCAGUGAAUCAUCGAAUCUUUGAACGCACAUUGCGCCCGCCAGUAUUCUGGCGGGCAUGCCUGUCUGAGCGUCAUUUCAACCCUCAAGCAACUUCUGCUUGGUGUUGGGGAUCGGCCGUCAAACGCCGCCCCCGAAAUCUAUUGGCGAUCUCGCUGUAGCUUCCUAUGCGUAGUAGUAACAUCUCGCAUCUGGAGAGCGGCGCGGUCAUGCCGUAAAACACCCAACUUCUCAGGUUGACCUCAGAUCAGGUAGGAAUUCCCGCUGAACUUAAGCAUAUCAAUAAGCGGAGGA